Molecule: microRNA precursor, 59 nt
Filed under: Tetraodon nigroviridis (spotted green pufferfish)
Lineage: Eukaryota; Metazoa; Chordata; Actinopteri; Tetraodontiformes; Tetraodontidae
Description: Tni-Mir-101-P2-v1_pre stem-loop
Source: RNAcentral
UCGGUUAUCAUGGUACCGCUGCUGUGUCCCUCUCAAGUACAGUACUAUGAUAACUGAAG